RNAcentral lists this ribosomal RNA (460 nucleotides) under uncultured bacterium. RNAcentral describes it as "partial 16S ribosomal RNA". It matches the Rfam family "Bacterial small subunit ribosomal RNA", at positions 338 to 795 of the family's 1533-position model. The record is from RNAcentral.
CCUACGGGAGGCAUCAGUGAGGAAUAUUGGUCAAUGGACGAGAGUCUGAACCAGCCAAGUAGCGUGAAGGAUGACUGCCCUAUGGGUUGUAAACUUCUUUUAUAAAGGAAUAAAACGAGGCACGUGUGCCUUUUUGCAUGUACUUUAUGAAUAAGGAUCGGCUAACUCCGUGCCAGCAGCCGCGGUAAUACGGAGGAUCCGAGCGUUCUCCGGAUUUAUUGGGUUUAAAGGGAGCGUAGAUGGGUUGUUAAGUCAGUUGUGAAAGUUUGCGGCUCAACCGUAAAAUUGCAAUUGAUACUGGCAGUCGUGAGUACAGUUGAGGUAGGCGGAAUUCGUGGUGUAGCGGUGAAAUGCUUAGAUAUCACGCAGAACCCCGAUUGCGAAGGCAGCUUACUAAACUGUGACUGACAUUGAUGCUCGAAAGUGUGGGUAUCAAACAGGAUUAGAUACCCUUGUAGUC